This is a long non-coding RNA of Prunus avium (sweet cherry), 485 nucleotides long. RefSeq lists it as uncharacterized. NCBI's taxonomy places the organism in Eukaryota, Viridiplantae, Streptophyta, Magnoliopsida, Rosales, Rosaceae. The record is from RefSeq and is a predicted model, not a curated record.
UUUCCCCUCAUUUUCUCCACUGUUUUUUUGGGUUUUUAUUAGUUUAUUUUUUUUCUCUCCCCUUUUUCUCCCCUAUUCCCCUAAAUUUUCAUUGCUGUGGAUUUUCUUUUCUACUUUAUGUCUCCACACUUUGUUUGGGUUUUUUUAUAUUGCUUUUAAGUGUAUAUGCCGAAUUUCUUUUGUGGGUUUAAUUAGAUUCAUGUUUGUUUAUGAUUUUUGAUUUAGAUUCAUAUAUAAGUAUAAAUGAAAUAUUUAUUAUUUCUUUUGGGGCAGCUCUUGAAUUUGGAAAACUUAGCCCCUGAAUUUGAGACUGAGGUUGUUUUUCACCAAGAAUUCAUCAAGGGGCUGGGAGAGCUUAAUAGAGAAGGUUUGAAGAAGACGCCUCUUUGUGUUGCCAAGGGGCCUCCGAGAAAGAACAAGGGGAAGAUGAGCAUUUUUGUUUGUUUUUGUUUUCACUGGAAGAUGGAGUAGUUUGAAUGUUAUUU